Long non-coding RNA from Aphis gossypii (cotton aphid), 1784 nucleotides. RefSeq lists it as uncharacterized. Lineage: Eukaryota; Metazoa; Arthropoda; Insecta; Hemiptera; Aphididae. The record is from RefSeq and is a predicted model, not a curated record. The transcript has 3 exons.
UUUAUGAUAAACAUAGGAUUAACGUAGGAUAUCUGAAUAGACUGGAUAUAAUAUAAUAUAUGCAUUUUUUAUUUGUAUAAUAAUGCGGGACCUUAACAUUUAAUUUAAGCGGGGCCUUAGACACGGCCCUCGUACAACUUGACUCUAGCCGUGUCUGCACAUGAUGGUAGUAAAACUCGAUAAUUGCAAUGUGCGUGCGAGUACAUGAAGUACAAUAUACCAGAAUACUCGUAUAUAGUUCCUGUCCCAAUGUCAUAUUAUUAUUAUGCGUUAGUUAAAUAUGUUAUAUGUAUACCUAUACGUUUUAAUGUUUUAUUAUCAAUAAUAUAAAUUUUAUAUAAAUGUAAAAAUAGGAUUUUUUGUCAGGCAUUUUCUCUGAUACUAUAGGUACUCAUCCAAUAAUCUUGAUUUUUUUAAAUGAAAGAGUACAUCGUGGAGCAAGUUUUAAGUUUAUUUCUAUAAUUCUAUAAGUUAAUGAAAAAUCGAGCUAUUAAUUUUUUUAAUAAUCGGAAAAUACGCACAUAAAAAUAUUUUUUUUUCCGUCCAUGCGUAACCAAUAUUAAUGGUUAUUACUUUAUUCGUAUUUUAGGGUAUAGUUGAAUAUAGUAUAAAACUUUUUCGUUGUUUUUGGUUUACACUAUUGAAACUUUUAGUUGAGUUGUUGGCUUUUGACCCAAAAUGAAGUUGAAUGUUGAUACGAUUUAUCGGAAAUAUCAUCUAUACAUUAAUUCAGAAAAUAAAAAUAUUAUUUCUCCACACAAGUUACGCUAAAUGUUAGCAUUAGCCAUUAGGUAACCAAAUUUAACACGGAUGCGUUUUGUAUGGUCAACGAAGUUCAAGUGAUGGAAAUCUAAUCUAUUGUAUGUAUGUAUAUAUUGUAUACCUAGGUAGUUGUUUUAUAAGUUCAUCAAUCUUAAAGUAAUUUAUGUGUAAUACUGCAACUGCAUAUAAACAUAUGGUUGUAUAAGUGUGUAACUAUAGGCUUUUGUAUUUUGUGGCUGAGGUUUCCGCUAAAAUUAUUUUUAUUAUACUAUACAUUUUAAUAGUUACUAUUUGUUUUUUAAUGUGUUAUAAAUACCUAGAAACGUCUAUUUUUUAUAUAUACUGUUGGUUUUUUAUCAACUGAUCACCCUCCCGCCGUCCAUACUAAUUUAUGUAUACAUCAUUAUUGAAUACGUUGUAGGAAACACCGGCAUCGCCACGGGAAAAUAGAGUACAUCGCGUAUGCCGAGGGCAAAGGGACAGCCGAGAAAAGCUCUCAAGGUCUCAAAUAUAUGAUAAACUUGAGAACACGUGUUCGAUAUAAUAGGUCUACGUUCCACAAAACAAGGGAAGUGAAAUAAGUGAAAAAAUAUAAGCAAGGAAGUCUCGAAGCGUACCAAAGAUAGCCAAUGAUUAUAACACGAUUAGGAAAAAAUAUUCAACACUUGGUGUGUGAUGCAAAUGGAAAAACCACUCCGAGGAAACCGGUUUUAAGUCACUCGAGAAUUGCAUAAUGAUUAACGAGUUAAAGCAAAAAAAUAAACUAAAAAUAUUAUGUCUUCUUUUUGCCAAGAUCGCAUAUUUUACAAUUAUCAGUUCUUACUUAUUAUUAUUACUUAGAUCUACGUACAUGUUCGUAGAUGAUCCAUUCAGGGUAAUUAUUUUAACAGUAAACACUCUUUAUCUUAAGACGUUUAUAUAUUUAUAUUAUUUUUUUUUUACAUAAUUUAAAGAGUGUAUAAUUUUUUUUUUUUUUAAGUAAAUAUAUUAUAUUUUUUUAUUUACAUUCACUCCGAUUACCA